This is a long non-coding RNA of Erpetoichthys calabaricus (reedfish), 269 nucleotides long. RefSeq lists it as uncharacterized. The record is from RefSeq and is a predicted model, not a curated record. The transcript has 2 exons. NCBI's taxonomy places the organism in Eukaryota, Metazoa, Chordata, Cladistia, Polypteriformes, Polypteridae.
CCAUAUUCCGUAGUCCUUUUAUCUUGUGCAACAUUUAAUAUCGAAACCUGCACUAACAAAAAUUAAAGCAAAAAAAUACGAGCAGAGUUUUUUUUUUACAUUUUUGACAUUUAUGAAAUAAAUAUGUAAAUUCAAAAUAACUUCAAAUAGUCCAAUCUGUAAUGUCUGCAUUUCUUUUUUGGUUCAGUCAUAUUAUUAGCUGAAGAAAUAAAAACUUUUAUUAACAAACAAUUUCGACAGCCCCUGUGAUAAAAAAAAAAACCAAUAAA